GACAGAGGUGCCGAGCGUCAGGCGGAAUCACUGGGCUUAAAGCGUGUGUAGGUGGAUGCCUAAGUACCUUGUGAAAUCCCACGGCUUAACCGUGGAACUGCUUGGUAUACUGGGUGUCUUGAGCCAGCUAGGGGCUACCGGAACAAAUGGUGGAGCGGUGAAAUGCGUAGAUAUCAUUUGGAACGCCAAUGGUGAAAACAGCUCGCUGGGGGUGCACUGACACUGAGACACGAAAGCCAGGGGAGCGAACGGG
RNAcentral lists this ribosomal RNA (253 nucleotides) under uncultured bacterium. RNAcentral describes it as "partial 16S ribosomal RNA". It matches the Rfam family "Bacterial small subunit ribosomal RNA", at positions 524 to 776 of the family's 1533-position model. The record is from RNAcentral.